UACGGAGGGGGCAAGCGUUAUCCGGAAUUAUUGGGCGUAAAGAGCUCGUAGGCGGUUUGUCGCGUCUGCCGUGAAAGUCCGGGGCUCAACUCCGGAUCUGCGGUGGGUACGGGCAGACUAGAGUGAUGUAGGGGAGACUGGAAUUCCAGGUGUAGCGGUGAAAUGCGUAGAUAUCUGGAGGAACACCGGUGGCGAAGGCGGCAUCCUGGACCAAUAUUGACGCUGAGGAGCGAAAGCUAGGGGAGCAAACGGG
Molecule: ribosomal RNA, 253 nt
Filed under: uncultured bacterium
Lineage: Bacteria
Description: partial 16S ribosomal RNA
Rfam family: Bacterial small subunit ribosomal RNA
Source: RNAcentral